Molecule: ribosomal RNA, 431 nt
Filed under: uncultured bacterium
Lineage: Bacteria
Description: bacterial SSU rRNA
Rfam family: Bacterial small subunit ribosomal RNA
Source: RNAcentral
AACGAACGCUGGCGGCAGGCUUAACACAUGCAAGUCGAACGCCCCGCAAGGGGAGUGGCAGACGGGUGAGUAACGCGUGGGAAUCUACCCAGAACUUCGGAACAACUGAGGGAAACUUCAGCUAAUACCGGAUACGCCCUACGGGGGAAAGAUUUAUCGGUUCUGGAUGAGCCCGCGUUGGAUUAGCUAGUUGGUGGGGUAAUGGCCUACCAAGGCGACGAUCCAUAGCUGGUCUGAGAGGAUGAUCAGCCACACUGGGACUGAGACACGGCCCAGACUCCUACGGGAGGCAGCAGUGGGGAAUAUUGGACAAUGGGCGAAAGCCUGAUCCAGCCAUGCCGCGUGAGUGAUGAAGGCCUUAGGGUUGUAAAGCUCUUUCAGUGGGAAGGAUAAUGACGGUACCCACAGAGGAAGCCCCGGCUAACUUCGUG